AUGUACCACGCGUACACCCCGCUUCCUCCGCGCCGUCCGCCCCCCCCCCUGACGACUGUUCGCUACGUUUUGUUAGCC
RNAcentral lists this small RNA (78 nucleotides) under Xanthomonas floridensis. Its description in RNAcentral is "sX9 sRNA". It matches the Rfam family "Xanthomonas sRNA sX9". The record is from RNAcentral. Lineage: Bacteria; Pseudomonadati; Pseudomonadota; Gammaproteobacteria; Lysobacterales; Lysobacteraceae.